CAGCCGCUGCUCAGUGGCACCUUGGAGAGAGCGGAGAGGCUGAGCCGAAUUCCUGGAAAGAGGAGAUAAAGCCUUUCAAAAGCCUGGGCUGUUUGGGGUUUCUGGGGCCAGCAGAGAGAUAAGGGAUUAGUUCCCGGCAGGUGGGAACAGCGCUGGGCACACAGAUCAGUUCCCAGCCUGUUUUGCGCGGGGGAGGGAGCCUUGCCCAGCUGCUUAGAGGCAGUAUUGUCUUAGCCCUGGUAUCCUACAGGGGAGUAGCUUUUUGACACGGUUCAUGCCCUGUGCAGAGAUCCUGUCUUCUAAGCUGGGUCUACUAAGAGAGUUCCCUGAGGUUUCUUCUCAAUUGCUGAAAGGUAUCCAUCAUAAGGAAAAAAAAAAGUAGCUAGUUAAUCUUUGAAACAUAAGCUGUGCCUUCGCUCUCCAGCCUGCUGUGGAUUCGUUCCAAGCUCUGAGUCACUGGCACUGUGAGAGUUCCCUGUGGCCAAGAACUGUGCCUUGCAUCUUGAAGCACUGAGAAGUCAAUUAAUGUUCCUGUGAAAAGACUGAAUGAUGAGUUGAAUGAUGGAAAAGGCAUAAGACUGGCACAAGCAGUUUUGGAGUCCAGCCAUCUUAACCAUUUUCAAGAUUUCUUUUGUGGACAAGGAUGCAUAGCAGUGGCUCAUGCUGACAGUGGUUCCCACUAGGCACUUUUUACGUAGUUUGCCCGUAAGAAGUACGGUGAUCUUUACGAAUCCAAUAGGAACAUCUGGCUUCCUUUGGGAAACUGAGAAGAAUGCCCAGUGUCAAAAUCAUUCUCUCAUUCUUAAAUGACCCAACAGGAUUUAGCUGUCAUAUUUAACCAGAAAGGAAAUCAGCCCUGAAUAUUCACUGGAAGGACUGAUGCUGAAGCUGAAACUCCAAUACUUUAGCCACCUGAUGUGAAGAACUGACUCAUUUGAAAAGACCCUGAUGCUGGGAAAGAUUGAAGGCAGGAGGAGAAGGGGACAACAGAAGAUGAAAUGGUUGGAUGGCAUCACUGACUUGAUGGACUUGAGUUUGAAUAAACUCCAGAAGCUGGUGAUGGACAGAGAGGCCUGGCAUGCUGUAGUCCAUGGGGGUCACAAAGAAUUGGACAUGAUUGAGUGACUGAACUGAAUUGAACUUGAACAGUGGCUGGCACUCCAUAGAUAUUUAUUUUAUGAAAGGUUGAAUUUAAUUAUCUUUGAAGUGCAAAGUUAGAAAUGGAAAGUCUUGCUCACAAUUUUCCUUUGUAAAUGUGGCCAAUUUAAUUUAAUACAGUUAUUGAUUGCCUGUGUUUGUCUGAAACAGUAGAAGUAACAACUUGAAUCUUCUGUUUCUGAUUGUUGGAUGUUGUGUGAGCAGAGCUGGCAGCCACUGCGGUUUCUGAGGCUUAGAACUUGUACAUGGAAGGUAACUGAGUGGCGACUUUGUCUGAGUUCUACUUUGGCUGAUGGAUGCCCUCUAGGGCCUCAAUAUCUUUAUUUUACACAUUUUAUUUAUCAGACUUGGGCAUGUAUCCCACCUUGGGACCAUUCAUGGGGGUUAAACGGUGAUCCAUUCAGCUCUGAAGUAGUUUAUAGACUCACAGGGAAGACAGGUACAGAAAUGGGUAAUUGCAAAACAGUGUGAUGUAUGCUUAGGGUGAAAGGCCCCCUAAGAGAUGAUGAUAGGGACACAGAAGAAUAGAGAAUCUAAUUGUUCCACUGCUUGAAUAUCUCCAGUGUCAGGAAACUCAUUAUCUUAGAAGAAAGUAGAAAGAAUGCACUGAUGUCUGUGAUUUACUCAACAUUUUUGAAAUGAGUGUCUGCUGUGUGCUGGGCUUCCCGGGUAGUGCUCGUGGUAAGGAACCUGCUCGCCAGUACAAGAGAUGUAAGAGACAUGGGUUCAGUCCUUGGGUCGGGAAGAUCUCUGGAGGAGGGCAUGGCAGCUGACAUCAGUAUUCUUGCCUGGAGAAUCCCUUGGACAGGGGAGCCUGGUGGGCUACAGGCCAUGGGGUCACAAAGAGUGGGACACGACUGAAGAGACUUAGCACACACAACUACUAUGUGCCAAGUACUGUGCCAAGUGCUGGAGAGGCAGUGAAUAAGAGAGAUGCAGUUCCCACUCUUACCGGGCUUUCAAAGUCAGGGGUCAGAGAUCCAUUAAACGUGUAAAUAUACAAAUAAGCACAAACUUAUAAGCAGUGGUGAAAGUGAUGAAAGAAGAGUCAGGUAGCUGUAGACCCAUUACGUGGUCUCAGUUCAGUGUUGAGAGGUGAGUGUCUUAACCUCUAUCCUGCUGAGGAGUUAGCAGAGGAUCCCAGUUGUAAAUUGCCUUGCCCCAAACUACACAACUGGUAAGUGUCAGAGCAGGGAUUAGAACCCAGGACUGUCCGAUGUCAAGUACAUGCUUUCAACUCCAAGUCUUCACUGAGGAGCCUCAUGGUAUAUGGGCCACCUCACUUGGGGACAGAUAAUUGGAAACAGAGUCAUUAAAGCUUAUUCUUUUUCUUCAGCAUGCUGUUAUAUGCCUUUAACAUGUGCCACCAAUUAAGGGGUUAAUUAUGUACUUUUCUCGUGUUGAUUUAUAAAUGGGAUUUGUUUAAGUAAGAGCAUGGAAAGUCUGAUUCUUUCACUCAAAUCCACCCACCUUUUGUCUAGGCUGAUGCUGAGUGUAGACAGUCUCAUUAAAUACU
RNA transcript from Dama dama (fallow deer), 2674 nucleotides. It is a transcript of the gene named 10 kDa heat shock protein, mitochondrial-like, with no coding region annotated. The record is from RefSeq and is a predicted model, not a curated record. The transcript has 4 exons. NCBI's taxonomy places the organism in Eukaryota, Metazoa, Chordata, Mammalia, Artiodactyla, Cervidae.